GCCUGGGUGGCUCAGUUGGUUAAAGCCUCUGCCUUCGGCUCAGGUUAAGAUCUCAGGGUUGUGGGAUCAAGCCCCUCCUCAGGCU
This 85-nucleotide transfer RNA is filed under the name Mustela putorius furo (domestic ferret). It matches the Rfam family "tRNA". Rfam says of the family: Transfer RNA (tRNA) molecules are approximately 80 nucleotides in length. Their secondary structure includes four short double-helical elements and three loops (D, anti-codon, and T loops). Lineage: Eukaryota; Metazoa; Chordata; Mammalia; Carnivora; Mustelidae. The record is from Rfam by way of RNAcentral.